This 6677-nucleotide small RNA is filed under the name Rattus norvegicus (Norway rat). RNAcentral describes it as "uncharacterized LOC103690870". The record is from RNAcentral. Lineage: Eukaryota; Metazoa; Chordata; Mammalia; Rodentia; Muridae.
UAUUAUUCAAGGCUUGACUGAACUACAGGCUGAGUUCUGAGCCAUCUUGGGCAACUUAGACUCUUUUUCAAAACAAAAAGUAAAAGUACGUCUAGAAAUGUACUUAGUGGUAGACUACAUGCCUAGUCUCUGUGAGGCUCUGAGUCCAAACCUCCGCACUGUAGAGUUAAACCAAGCAAGUAAGGUUUUCUUUAGCCUCCUUCUGGCCUUUCUCUCCUUUUCCUUUGCUUCCCCUCUCGUCCUUUAUCCAUGCCCUUCUCACCCAGUAUCUGAAUCCUUGUUCUUACCCAAGCUCUCCUCACUGUGAGGGGAGAUCGGCUACUUAAUUCAGGAAGAAUGAUUUGUCUGACUGUUUUGAUUCUCCAUUAGGCCCGUAAGCCAGCCAGAAUACAGGGUGCUGUUAGCUCGUUCUUGCAUGUAUCCUUCCUUCCCUUAAGGAAACAGGAGAAACCACUUUAAACUGAGACUUCAGAAGGUGACCUGAGAGGUUGUUGAGACUGAAUCUUUGAAGUUGAGGCUCUUGGAUGAUCUCUGACUUUUUCCUAGAGGCAAGAGCUGCCUUCAGCUCUAUUUGGAUUUUCAGAUUCACUGAAGGGAAAUCUGAUGUCGGAGCAAUUAAGGAGGAAUGAAAUAGCAGACCGGUGCGUGCACUGUUGACUCUGGGCCUCCUUGGUGCUGGCCGGCAGAGGUCGGGGAGCGGCUGGCUGGCUGUUAGCCCCAGCCUGCAGCGUUUGCUUUGGCCAUUGGGGUAAAGAGCACUUUGUGGAAAGCCAGCCUUCCCGGCCAAGUGCCUAUUUUGGUCCUGAAUCUGUUGAGUCCAGCCUGAAGGUUGGCUCCAGGAUCAACAGAGGCCAUGGAAAAUGGGAUUGGAUGCCUGGCAGACAUCACUAUGGGCUUUGUCUUCCUGACCAGGUUAGUUAGCCCCGAGCCCAUGAAACACAGGCACAAUGGGGAGCUAUGGACCUUGCAACAUCAGUACCAGAAAGAACUAGCUUGUUUGCAUGGUCCCUCUUCCCCAGCUGUCUGGUCUCUUAAGGUGGAUGUGGAGCAAGAGCUGACAGAGAGUCUCGAAAGUGUCUGAGAUCUUCUAAGUGCUAGGUCAUCAAGCUAUAGGGCUAGUUGUCUUUCCCAGCUAAAAAAAACCAGGCCUCAUGAGAGUCAACAAGUUAAUGAUUUUGAGAACACUCCUGAUUUCUAUAUGUCUAUUCAACUCAGCUUUUGUGACAGGAAAGCAACCCAAUGUGUAUAUAAGCAAAGAAGCAUGCACUCCUUCCUUUGCUUUAAAGGGGGUUAUUUAAAAUGUCAAAACCAUUCUUGCCUUGUGUUCUGCACAAAAAUAGUCAGUAGGUUAGAUAUGGCCUGAGAGUUCUAGUUUGCUUUUAUUAACCACUGCUCUAGAGGACAGAACGGAGCUACCGGCCAAAAGAGGAAUCUUUGGCUCCAAUGGAAAAAAGGAUAACUAGAUUUUUAGGAAAAUGAGAUUUGUUUCCCAGAAAGCUACAACCACUACCCUAAAAAACGAUAGAAAAGAUAUUCAAGAGGCACCUGUUAGGGAUGUCAUAGGAAGACUCUAAGGCCUGGCCAGGGAUUGGUUUUUCGUCUUUAAAAUCUACAGGAUUGCCACUGUGACAAAGUGUUUCCUCUACGUAUCCAUCAUUUCUCACCCACACACUUCUGUGUUUAUAUUUGUUAGGUCUUUGUACACAGUCCAUUCCUCCUUGACUAGUAUGUGUUGAUAAUUGCCUCAUCUUGUUCCUCGUUUUUUUUCAUGCAUUUUCUUUUCUUUUCAGAAACUAAGGGGUUAAUGUCAAAAGGGCAAGGUUCGCUGGGCAGCUGCUGCACUGUUGCCUAGCAACCCUGAGGGACAGCUCAGAAUUUCUGCUGAAGCUUUUGUGGAAAGAUGGUCUGAUCCAACCAUCAGGGCAGAGUAAAGAGCAAAGGAGAUAAUGUAGUCGAACCCAUGAUAACUCAUGAAAAGGGAUUUGAUUGUGUCUCACAGAAUGUUGGAUCUUCCUUUAUGUCACUAGGGGAAAAUUAAAUUUGCUUGAAGAGAUUUCAGCUCGUUCCUGCUCCCCUCCUUUCCCCCAGUGGUUUGGUCCUGUUUCUCAGAACAGCAUCCUUUCCACUAAACCCCCAGAGUGGCCUGCUCCUGUCUCACGGAUUAUUAGGCCCUCUCUGCUUUUAUUUUUCCCUGUAGUCAUCUAGCUAAUAGCCUAGUGUGGUUUGAUUGUGUCUUACACUAAAGUAUCCCCACAUAAUUUCUGCUCACAGCAGUGGUUUGCUCCUAUCUGCUAAGCAUCAGCAUCUUUCCCCUCCUGUCUCACACGAGAAUGAUUAGAUACUGCGUCACUGAGCAUCAGGCUUUUAGCCCCUCCCCCGGGGUCCACAGUGGUUUGAUCCUACCUCAUGGACUAUUAGGUUCUUUCUGAUUCCCCCUCUAGCAUCACCAUUACUAAUGGUAUGGUCCUUAGCAUCAGGUCCUUUUUGUCCCCCACUGGUCUUCUGAGCAGACUUGACGCAGCUUCAUCUCAUUCCUGAUGGAUCCUGAGCCCCUCAGUGCUUUACUCCUGCGUGAGCGCUGUGAACUGGACCAAAUGGGUUGAAAAUGGCCAGAAGUUGCUCUUUAUCACUUUAAAUCUUUUAUGAUAAAGAAAAAAACUUCAAUUUCUGACCAGUUAAAAUCCAUCUGAGCCAGUAAACGCUCAUUGGGCAGAGCUGGAGUCUGAGGUCGGUAAAUCCAGGAAGAUGGCUGAAUGCUUUGCUGACUCAAGCCCAGACAAGGAGCCAGAUUUCUUGGAUUCCAGAUUCACUUCUUUCUUGGCUUCACCCUGGACCUGUGGUGACUGGAGGCUUUGUGAUAUGAUGAGGAAACUGAGGCUCCAAGAGCUUCUGUGACUUGUCCAAGGCCAUACAGCUAGUAAGUAACCUGGGGUGUGGUAUGCUUCAGAUCACUGGGUGCAUGUGCCUCAGGAUUUUCACUCUUACCUGAUCAUUUCUCCAGUUGAGUAACAUGCUGAUAUUGCCAGAGGCGCAUCAGGACUGUGCACAAGUACGUCAUAUUGGGCUGGGUGCCUGGAGUUGAUGAGAGUAUUGUGAAGAUAUAUGAUCAGCCUUUAGCCCAGCAGGUCCUGGAGGAUGAGGUUGGAACACAGCUAAGCUAUUACACAGCCAAAUGGCAUGAACACUUAUUCAUAAUGUCUGUACCUCCCCCAGAACAUUGUCCUCUAUAGACACUUGGAAGGGCACAUCUGUAAGAAGAUAUGGAGACCUCCCCAUUAAAGAUCAGAAAAGUGUGGUCAAGAGAGGGGCAGGGACCUCUCCAAGUUUUUCUCCUUAAUGAUUUUGCCCCUGAUUCUGCUCGAAAUUAAUUUUUAAAUAUGAUCAAGAAAAUGUAGGCUUCAAGCAUAUUUGUUUUUGAGGAAAGACCAAUUCCUCUGUGAACCUUGCUAAGAUAGGUCUGCAGGGUAGUAUUUUCAUUUCUUCCUGGUUAUUAUAUAAGCUAGCAUCAUAGAAAUAUAAAGAUACUAUACUUCAGAGUAAGUCAGAUUGGGACUAAUUCCCUUUCAGAAACACAGAUGGAAAUCCACUAAGAUUUUCCGGGGCCCUAGGUUCUUUACUUUUAAAAUUAGGACUACCGAUUUGAUUCUAUUCCUGUGGAGUUGGAGGUAACUGGGGAAAUCUAGAUGAAGGGAAUCAGGGAAGAGCUAAAGCUCAGAGAGUGUUCCCUUCUAGAUAGACAGAUGUGAGAAUUACUUGUCCUGGGGGCUGUACAGAAAGCCUCAUGAGGCCUACACAUGGCCUCACCUAAGCAGAAGAAUCUCUUCCACAAGAUGGCUGUUCAUCCACUUUUUUUUCAGUUCUCUGACUUGAUAGCUCUAGAUAUUAGCCUCUAGACUUAACAUGUUUGCUAAGUCUGCAUUUGCCUUGGAUUCUAGUUUCCUUAUUAGCUCAUUUGUCCCUUUGAGGAUUAUUUUGUUUUUGUCACUCUUGGUAUAACUUACUCUAAAGCUAAACGCAGUACUUCUGAAAUGGGAUGGAGUAAAAAGAAAGCCACCAUCUCCUUCAUUUCAGACACUGUCAUUUUAUUGGUGUAUCCUAAGGCUUCAAUAGUUCAUGUUUGUUUUGAACACUGUCUUACAUAAAUGUGUAUUAGAGCUAAAUUCUCUGUCUUUAGCAGCACACCAUACUAUCUUCCUGGGUCAUUAUGAUAUGCUGUAGCAGUGACACACAUGAACUUCACCUGGGAAUCUUUUUAAAGGCCAAUUCUGAGCCAAUCUGUAUGUCCUUUAUUGUAAAGAAGGUUAAAAUAAAAGCCCCCACCCCCAUAUGAGUCUUGGUUUUGCUAUGUAGUCCAGACUGGCCUCUAACUUGUAAUCAUCCUGCCUCAGCCUCCUGGGUUCUGGGAUUACAAGUGUGUGGCAUCAUACUUGGCCUUCAGUAUGGUUUUGCAUAUACUACUUUUUCUUCAGAACUGUGUAUCAAACCAAAGGCCCUGUGUUUUCUGUACAAGUGCUACUACUGAGCCACAGCUUCGCAGAGAAGGUCUCAUUAAGUUACCUAGUUGGCCCCGGAAUAAACGUAACUUGGCUUGUGUCAAUGUCUGUAGGGUAUUUAUCUCCUACAUUAUACCCAUAACCAGGAAGAAAUGACGUUAUACCCAUUGCCUAUUGAUAUUUAGCACGUUAGGCCUGAAAACAGAAUUUAAUAAUCUACUAAUUCAAGGACAGUUGCAAUAAAUUCAAAACAGUUCACAAAAACUUAUUUUGAAGGAAGGAACAUUUUCCAAAUAAAACAUCUAUGAGUUGUGGUCUUUCAUUUUUUUAGUAGCUGUCCUUAGCAUCUUUCACAUUCAGUAUUUUGCCAUAUCACAUAGAUAUGGCUGCUAGAAACCUCAUUUUGGGAAGGAGAAACUGUGAAUAAGCUUGCAAUUUUUUUCUUUUAUAAGAUUUAUUUUCAAGUUGUGUGUGUGUGUGUGUAUGUAUGUAUGUAUGUAUGUAUGUAUGUAUGUAUGUCUAUGCAUCUGCAUCGUGUAUAAGUUUAUAUAACUGAGUGCCAAAGAGGAUAUUGGAUCCCCUGGACCCUGAGUCCCAGGCAGUUGUGAGCUGCCUAAUGUGGGUGAUAGGAUCUGAACUCAGGUCCUUUUCAAGAGCCUUAAUCUCUGAGCCAUCUCUCCAUAUAGAUUCUGAAGAUUAGGGAAUUUUGACUCCAUGAGUUCUCUCUCUGGCAGGGCUUUGGGAUCCUCAGAGGUCCCUGGGCAAUCCAAGGUUUUCUAAAAUAAGUUAUGCUUCAUGAGACAUGGAUGUACUUUCACAUGGGCCAUUUUUUCAUUGAAGUAAACCCUGUUUUUACACAAAAGAGCAAAUACUGUAAGACUCCACACGAUGGGUUUCCUAGAAUAUAGACAUUCGGGAGACAGAGUAGAAUAGUGGUUAACACUGGCGAGGAAGGAGGGAGGAUUAGAAUUCUGUGUAGUGGGUAAAACGUUUCAGUUUGGGAAGCUGAGGGAGCUCAGGGGAUGAAUAGUUCCAGGCAGUGGGAGUGUGGUAAAUGCCACUGAACUGUAUAAUUUAAAAAUGUUGAGUGGUAAACCUCAUGUUCUAUAUAGUUUACUAUGAUUUAAAACAUGAGGAUUCCAGAUACCCAGUCAUCCCUGUUCUGAUUCACCAGGUUCACAGUGAGGCACAGAAUCAGUUUAGAAGCACUUCGGGGAAUUUGGAUACUGUUUGGUGGCCUGGCAAGAUCAGCACCCUUACUAUUUUAGUCCCUGCCAGUCAUCAGCCUCUGGUUUUCCUGUUAUCCUCUGCUCCCUGUUAUGUAGCUACUAAGUGGCCUAAGAGCCAGCACCUUCACAAAGUAGCAAAGAGUUGGUGCAUCUUUAAGUAGUUGUUGGUCAUAACGGCACCUCAUUUGACGACACAGUUUUCCUUACUCUGGUAAGACUCUCAGUUUCUUUUCUUCUGGACCCUCAUCAUUUCCAGCUCAGUACUGGAGGCAGGGAUUAUGACUCAGUGACAGAGCUGUUGUCUAGCAUGGGCAAGGCUCUGUGCUCCGUGACCAGUACUGAAAAAAAUCCAAAGCUGGACAUUUGAUCUAUUAUUAUCAAAAAACCAACAAGGAACUCAAAUUGUUUUGAAACUAUUGCUAUGUGGCAUAACUGCUCUACCUAACUGCAGUACCAGUUAGAGGAGGAGUUUACUUUUUCCUUUGUUACCUUUUUUGACUGUUGUUUUAUUGUUUGGAGUAUAUAUGGUUGCUUGUACAUGUGUGCUUAUGUAUGUGGGCACACAUGUGCAUGUGAGAGUGAGAAAGCUAGAAUUCAAUAUUGAACUUCUUCAAUCAUUUAUAUUUUCUGGUGUAUAGAGUUUAUCUUGUAUAUAGGGUAUGUGUGUAUGUAUGUGUGUGUGUUUGUGUGUGUGUUAUAUGAUGUAUAUGAUAUGUAUGUAUGAAUGCAUGUAUACAUGUUUGUGAAUGUGGCUGUGCAUGAACCUCACCACAUAUGUGGAGGUCAGAGUAUAACUUGUAUGCCAUAUCUACCUUCUGCUUUGAGAUAGAAUCUCUCAUUCCUUAUUGUGUAUGUCUACCGUGAACAUUGAAGGAUUCCCAUUUCUCCACCUCUUCCUUUUGAUAAAAGUGCUGUGAUUAUAGAUGAUCCCACAUGUAUAUAAUAUAUAAUGCGU